GACGUAGGGCGCGAGCGUUGUCCGGAUUUAUUGGGCGUAAAGAGCUCGUGGGCGGCUUGUCGCGUCGAAUGUGAAAACUCGGGGCUCAACUCCGAGCUUGCAUUCGAUACGGGCAGGCUAGAGUUCGGUAGGGGAGACUGGAAUUCCUGGUGUAGCGGUGAAAUGCGCAGAUAUCAGGAGGAACACCGAUGGCGAAGGCAGGUCUCUGGGCCGAUACUGACGCUGAGGAGCGAAAGCGUGGGGAGCGAACAGG
RNAcentral lists this ribosomal RNA (253 nucleotides) under uncultured bacterium. Its description in RNAcentral is "partial 16S ribosomal RNA". It matches the Rfam family "Bacterial small subunit ribosomal RNA", at positions 524 to 776 of the family's 1533-position model. The record is from RNAcentral.